RNAcentral lists this long non-coding RNA (655 nucleotides) under Carica papaya (papaya). Its description in RNAcentral is "long non-coding RNA (CPAP_LNC003172)". The record is from RNAcentral. Lineage: Eukaryota; Viridiplantae; Streptophyta; Magnoliopsida; Brassicales; Caricaceae.
CGUGGGCGAUCCGCAUGCGCACGAUUAGACGGCCCAGAUCCGUUCCCACGUGCACGGACGGCCCAGAUCAAACGUGUGCACGGACGGCCCAGAUUCACGCGUACGGACAGCCCAGAUUCAAUCAGGCAUGGAUGGCCCAGAUUGCAUCGCGAUGGACGGUCUAGAUUUAAUCCUAAUUAAAUCGCGAUCGGACAGUCCAGAUUUAAUCUUGAUGGACGGCUGAGAUUAAAAGGCAAAGGGUAUAAAUAACCCCACCCACUCCUGACCACAAAACCCUAGCCGCCAGUGCCUCGCUGGAGAAAAAGAACCAGACGCCGAAGGAGCCGGCCGCCGCCACCCGCCGCCACAUCGGAGAAGUUUCUGACCGCCAAUCGAGAUAAAUUUUCUCCCUUUGGCUAGUUUUUCGAUGCUGAAUCCGCUAUGGCCAAACCGGAGCCAAACCACCGGCCAAACGGCUGAAAAACCCUGACAAAUUUUGGCACUGCCACUGCGACUCCCCUCUAUUUUUGCCUCCAAUGAGCCCUUCCCGGCCUCCGUUCGAUGCAAAUUUUAUACCACUGUGAUCACCGUUCUUUUCUCUACAGGUUGAUCAGAGCCAAACAUCAAAACGUGACUCACGCCGGAGGAGCCGCCGCACCCGAGAGCACCGCCGCCG